RNAcentral lists this non-coding RNA (28 nucleotides) under Cricetulus griseus (Chinese hamster). The record is from RNAcentral. Lineage: Eukaryota; Metazoa; Chordata; Mammalia; Rodentia; Cricetidae.
UGACUGAGACACAGGGAGGAACUGCUCU